RNAcentral lists this ribosomal RNA (266 nucleotides) under uncultured bacterium. RNAcentral's name for it is "partial 16S ribosomal RNA". It matches the Rfam family "Bacterial small subunit ribosomal RNA", at positions 793 to 1055 of the family's 1533-position model. The record is from RNAcentral.
GUCCACGCCCUAAACUAUGCCAACUAGUUGUUUGGGAAGGAGACUUCCUUAGUAACGAAGCUAACGCGUGAAGUUGGCCGCCUGGGGAGUACGGUCGCAAGAUUAAAACUCAAAGGAAUUGACGGGGACCCGCACAAGCGGUGGAUGAUGUGGAUUAAUUCGAUGCAACGCGAAAAACCUUACCUACCCUUGACAUGUCAGGAAGUCUGCUGAGAGGUGGAUGUGCCCGAAAGGGAACCUGAACACAGGUGCUGCAUGGCUGUCGU